GCUGGGUGUAGUGGCGCAUGCCUGUAAUCCCAGCUUCUCUGGAGGCUGAGGCAGGAGAAUCGUUUGAACCUGGGAGGCAGAGGUUGCAGUGAGCUGAAAUCAUGCCACUGCAUUCCAGCCUGGGUAACAGAGUGAGACUCUGUCUCAA
This is an unclassified non-coding RNA of Pongo abelii (Sumatran orangutan), 148 nucleotides long. It matches the Rfam family "Metazoan signal recognition particle RNA". From Rfam's summary of the family: The signal recognition particle (SRP) is a universally conserved ribonucleoprotein. It is involved in the co-translational targeting of proteins to membranes. NCBI's taxonomy places the organism in Eukaryota, Metazoa, Chordata, Mammalia, Primates, Hominidae. The record is from Ensembl.